AGAUUGAACGCUAGCGGGAUGCUUUACACAUGCAAGUCGAACGGCAGCGCGGACUUCGGUCUGGCGGCGAGUGGCGAACGGGUGAGUAAUAUAUCGGAACGUGCCCAGUAGCGGGGGAUAACUACGCGAAAGCGUGGCUAAUACCGCAUACGCCCGUACGGGGGAAAGGGGGGAUUCUUCGGAACCUCUCACUAUUGGAGCGG
This 203-nucleotide ribosomal RNA is filed under the name uncultured soil bacterium. RNAcentral describes it as "partial 16S ribosomal RNA". It matches the Rfam family "Bacterial small subunit ribosomal RNA", at positions 26 to 229 of the family's 1533-position model. The record is from RNAcentral.